RNAcentral lists this ribosomal RNA (301 nucleotides) under uncultured bacterium. RNAcentral's name for it is "partial 16S ribosomal RNA". It matches the Rfam family "Bacterial small subunit ribosomal RNA", at positions 509 to 807 of the family's 1533-position model. The record is from RNAcentral.
CAGCCGCCGCGGGAAUACGGAGGGGGCUAGCGUUGUUCGGAAUUACUGGGCGUAAAGCGCACGUAGGCGGCUUGGUAAGUUAGAGGUGAAAGCCUGGAGCUCAACUCCAGAAUUGCCUUUAAGACUGUCGAGCUAGCAGGUGAGAGAGGUAAGUGGAAUUCCGAGUGUAGAGGUGAAAUUCGUAGAUAUUCGGAAGAACACCAGUGGCGAAGGCGGCUUACUGGCUCAUACUGGACGCUGAGGUGCGAAAGCCAGGGUAGCGAAAGGGAUUAGAUACCCCAGUAGUCCCUGUCUCUUAUAC